Molecule: long non-coding RNA, 296 nt
Filed under: Elaeis guineensis (African oil palm)
Lineage: Eukaryota; Viridiplantae; Streptophyta; Magnoliopsida; Arecales; Arecaceae
Description: long non-coding RNA (EGUI_LNC001394)
Source: RNAcentral
GGGUAGUGGCUGGAUUCUAUGAGUAGAGCUUUUCCUUUUCUUGUCUUCUUCUAUCUUUCCGCUGAGCCAACCGCUAUCAUUGGAUGUGGUCGUGCUUAGACUGCUAUAGGCUGGAAUCAGCAUCAUCGGACCUAAGUGGUAGCUGCCCAACUCUUCUCUUUUCUCUCUCUUCUCUUUCUCUCACAUCUAUAUUUUUUCUUUCUCUACAAUAGUGGACCAUUGGUGGGUCCUAAGAUGUUUUGUGGGUUCAAGUCGACCCUAAGAGAGGUCUCAAAUUGGUGUUGUGUGAUUAGGGG